CUAUACCUACGGGGCGCAGCAGUGAGGAAUAUUGGUCAAUGGGCGGGAGCCUGAAACAGCCAAGUCGCGUGAGGGAAGACGGUCCUAUGGAUUGUAAACCUCUUUAGGCGGGGAGCAAUGCCGGGCACGUGUGCCCGGAGGGAGAGUACCCGCAGAAUAAGCAUCGGCUAACUCCGUGCCAGCAGCCGCGGUAAUACGGAGGAUGGGAGCGUUAUCCGGAUUUAUUGGGUUUAAAGGGUGCGUAGGCGGAUUUUUAAGUCAGCGGUAACAUGUCCGGGCUCAACCCGGGCCGGCCGUUGAAACUG
Molecule: ribosomal RNA, 305 nt
Filed under: uncultured bacterium
Lineage: Bacteria
Description: bacterial SSU rRNA
Rfam family: Bacterial small subunit ribosomal RNA
Source: RNAcentral